GCCGGGUGUAGUGGUGCAUGCUUGUGAUCCGAGGAGCUCAGGAGGCUGAGACAGGAGGAUCGUGAGUUCAAAACCAGCCUUAACAAAAUCGAGUGCUAAGCAACUCAGUGAGACCCUGUCUCUA
This 124-nucleotide small RNA is filed under the name Marmota monax (woodchuck). The record is from RNAcentral. Lineage: Eukaryota; Metazoa; Chordata; Mammalia; Rodentia; Sciuridae.